CUUGCAGACGGUUUGUUUCCACGCUUUUAGAAGGAUACGGGUUUAGUGUUUAAAGUUGGGUUAUGGUUGAGGUUAGAGGAAGGGUGAGAGGGUUUGAGGUCAUUCUGAAAUGUGAUCAGUUGGUCACUGCAACCCUAAAGAAUACACGUUUGGGGUGUUAUAGGUUGGGGUAAAGGGUAGGAUUGAGGUUAAAAAGAGGUGUUAAGCCUAAAUCAUAACGGUAAGCCCAAAACCUGCUCAAGCCAACCCGUAAUGCUGACUUUCUCACACCUAACCCUCUCACCCUAUCCCCCAACUACCUAACGGUUAACCCUCUCUUCCAAAAACCCUUUCUCUAAUCCCCUCACCCAAUUCCAAACCCAGACGCUUGUUCCUUGCACCUGUCAUGAGCUUUUUUCAGUUAGUGGAGAUGACAGCGCUGUUGGACGGUCUACGCUGGUGUGGCCUAGGAUAAGGAGAGGAACGCCAGUGCUGACUUGUCGAUGAAACGAAUUUAAGGCCUGGUCUAUUUAGUGGAGAUGACAGCGCUGUUGGACUGUCUGUGCUGGUGUGGCUGGUUGGCUUGUGGAGCAGAGGUCAAUGAGGAGAGGAACGUCAGUGCUGACUGUCAAUGAAACAAAUUUAAGAUCACACCCUGGAGAGGGAGUUUGUCAUGCCUGUACAGCUGCUCUGGCCACUGGCAUUUGGACUGUCUGGGGUUUGCUGUACUGCCUUGGACAUCGACUUGUGGGGGCCUGGACUGUGGGACCAAUGGAAUGGACUGGUUAAGGUAAGUGUCACAUUAUACUGGCAGAG
Molecule: long non-coding RNA, 795 nt
Organism: Hippocampus zosterae (dwarf seahorse)
Lineage: Eukaryota; Metazoa; Chordata; Actinopteri; Syngnathiformes; Syngnathidae
Exons: 3
Source: RefSeq, a predicted model, not a curated record